ACGCAGGAAUCUUAGACCAACCCAACCCGUGCACCUGCAAGUUUCGCCCGGUCCUUCCGGGUCUUGAGAGACAAACAGAUGUACUGAGAUCAACUCCACGAUUGGUCUACUAGCGGGUACUAGUAACACUCACUUUGCUUCGUAGCGGAGCACAUGAGCGGUGGGACCUCCCCCAUGGUAACAUGGACCCACCGGGCCAAAAGCCACGCCUCACGGCCUCAUGUGUGUGCAACCCCAGCACGGCAACUUGUUUGUGAAACACACCUUAAGGUAACACUGAGACUGGUACUUGAUUUCUGGAGACAGGCUAAGGAUGCCCUUCAGGUACCCCGAGGUAACAAGAGACACUUCGGGAUCUGAGAAGGGGACCAGGAGUUCUAUCAAACUGCCCGGUUUAAAAAGCUUCUAUGCCUGGAUAGGUGACCGGAGGCCGGCACCUUUUCCUUUAUUUAAACUCACUU
Molecule: non-coding RNA, 461 nt
Filed under: Foot-and-mouth disease virus SAT 2
Lineage: Riboviria; Orthornavirae; Pisuviricota; Pisoniviricetes; Picornavirales; Picornaviridae
Description: Foot-and-mouth disease virus - type SAT 2 Aphthovirus internal ribosome entry site (IRES)
Rfam family: Aphthovirus internal ribosome entry site (IRES)
About the family: IRES elements allow cap and end-independent translation of mRNA in the host cell. The IRES achieves this by mediating the internal initiation of translation by recruiting a ribosomal 43S pre-initiation complex directly to the initiation codon and eliminates the requirement for eIF4F.
Source: Rfam by way of RNAcentral